GACGAACGCUGGCGGCGUGCUUAACACAUGCAAGUCGAGCGGUAAGGCCCUUUCGGGGGUACGACGAGCGGCGAACGGGUGAGUAACACGUGGGUGACCUGCCCUUAGCUCUGGGAUAAGCCUGGGAAACGUGGGUCUAAUACCGGAUAUGACUCCAUAACGCAUGUUGUGGGGUGGAAAGCCUUGUGCGGCUAGGGAUGGGCCCGCGGCCUAUCAGCUUGUUGGUGGGGUGAUGGCCACCAAGGCGACGACGGGUAGCCGGCCUGAGAGGGCGACCGGCCACACUGGGACUGAGACACGGCCCAGACUCCUACGGGAGGCAGCAGUGGGGAAUCUUGCGCAAUGGGCGAAAGCCUGACGCAGCGACGCCGC
Molecule: ribosomal RNA, 372 nt
Filed under: uncultured bacterium
Lineage: Bacteria
Description: bacterial SSU rRNA
Rfam family: Bacterial small subunit ribosomal RNA
Source: RNAcentral